UACGUAGGGGGCUAGCGUUGUCCGGAUUUACUGGGCGUAAAGAGCGCGCAGGCGGUCGUUCAAGUCGAGUGUGAAAGCCCCCGGCUCAACUGGGGAGGGUCAUUCGAUACUGAUCGACUUGAAGGCAGGAGAGGGAAGUGGAAUUCCCGGUGUAGUGGUGAAAUGCGUAGAUAUCGGGAAGAACACCAGUGGCGAAGGCGACUUCCUGGCCUGUUCUUGACGCUGAGGCGCGAAAGCUAGGGGAGCAAACGGG
RNAcentral lists this ribosomal RNA (253 nucleotides) under uncultured bacterium. RNAcentral's name for it is "partial 16S ribosomal RNA". It matches the Rfam family "Bacterial small subunit ribosomal RNA", at positions 524 to 776 of the family's 1533-position model. The record is from RNAcentral.